GACGAACGCUGGCGGCGCGCUUAACACAUGCAAGUCGAGCGAAGCGGCGGACGGGUGAGUAACACGUGAGUAACCUGCCUUAGACCUUGGGAUAGCCUCGGGAAACCGGGAUUAAUACCAAAUGGUCUAAGAUGGACUCGCGUCCCAUUAGCUAGUUGGUGAGGUAACGGCCCACCAAGGCGACGACGGGUAGCCGGCCGGAGAUGGCGACCGGCCACAUUUGGACCGAGAUACAGCCCAAACUCUACGGGAGGCAGCAGUGAGGAAUAUUGCACAAUGGGGGAAACCCUGAUGCAGCAACGCCGCGUGCGGGAUGACGUCCUUCGGGUUGUAGUCCGCUUUCAGCCAUGACGCGGUAGUGGCAGAAGAAGCACCGGCUAACUACGUGCAAGCAGCCGCGGUAAUUC
RNAcentral lists this ribosomal RNA (407 nucleotides) under uncultured bacterium. RNAcentral's name for it is "partial 16S ribosomal RNA". It matches the Rfam family "Bacterial small subunit ribosomal RNA", at positions 28 to 526 of the family's 1533-position model. The record is from RNAcentral.